UGUUGUUUUCUCGAAAAUCAAUUAAAAAUGACCGGAUUUUGUGUUGUAUUGACUUUAUCAGCUUUCUGCACUUUUUUCUUGUCUUUUUUAAUGCACUUUUCGUUUAACAAGUCAACAUCAAUUUCUUUUGUUGUAAAAGGGUCAUUGGAAGGUGGCUUUCAUUUCGGUGAAAGUGUUUAUAGCCUUUGACUUCUGCAAUCGGAGAGAUUGAGGUCUGCAGCGUAGAUCCUUCGGGGUUAGAUACAUUUGUGCUAAGUUAUAGUUUUUCAUAGACAACAUGUUGACUAUGAUUAAUCAUGUAGCUUACUCGCUUAUGCUAUUUUACCUAC
Molecule: ribosomal RNA, 329 nt
Filed under: Neocallimastigales sp.
Lineage: Eukaryota; Fungi; Neocallimastigomycota; Neocallimastigomycetes; Neocallimastigales
Description: partial large subunit ribosomal RNA
Source: RNAcentral